UGGAAGUAAAAAAUCGUAACAAGGUUUCCGUAGGUGAACCUGCGGAAGGAUCAUUACAGUAUUCUUUUGCCAGCGCUUAACUGCGCGGCGAAAAACCUUACACACAGUGUCUUUUUGAUACAGAACUCUUGCUUUGGUUUGGCCUAGAGAUAGGUUGGGCCAGAGGUUUAACAAAACACAAUUUAAUUAUUUUUACAGUUAGUCAAAUUUUGAAUUAAUCUUCAAAACUUUCAACAACGGAUCUCUUGGUUCUCGCAUCGAUGAAGAACGCAGCGAAAUGCGAUAAGUAAUAUGAAUUGCAGAUUUUCGUGAAUCAUCGAAUCUUUGAACGCACAUUGCGCCCUCUGGUAUUCCAGAGGGCAUGCCUGUUUGAGCGUCAUUUCUCUCUCAAACCCCCGGGUUUGGUAUUGAGUGAUACUCUUAGUCGGACUAGGCGUUUGCUUGAAAAGUAUUGGCAUGGGUAGUACUAGAUAGUGCUGUCGACCUCUCAAUGUAUUAGGUUUAUCCAACUCGUUGAAUGGUGUGGCGGGAUAUUUCUGGUAUUGUUGGCCCGGCCUUACAACAACCAAACAAGUUUGACCUCAAAUCAGGUAGGAAUACCCGCUGAACUUAAGCAUAUCAAAA
RNAcentral lists this ribosomal RNA (624 nucleotides) under Meyerozyma guilliermondii. Its description in RNAcentral is "eukaryotic LSU rRNA". The stretch from base 226 to 379 matches the Rfam family "5.8S ribosomal RNA". The record is from RNAcentral. Lineage: Eukaryota; Fungi; Ascomycota; Pichiomycetes; Serinales; Debaryomycetaceae.